Molecule: ribosomal RNA, 291 nt
Filed under: uncultured bacterium
Lineage: Bacteria
Description: partial 16S ribosomal RNA
Rfam family: Bacterial small subunit ribosomal RNA
Source: RNAcentral
GUGCCAGCCGCCGCGGUAAUACAUAGGGGGCGAGCGUUAUCCGGAAUUAUUGGGCGUAAAGCGUGCGUAGGCGGAAUGUUAAGUCAUUUGUAAAAGAUCUCGGCCCAACCGAGUAAGGCGAAUGAAACUGGCAAUCUUGAGUACGGUAGAGGUAAGUGGAAUUCCAAGUGUAGCGGUGGAAUGCGUAGAUAUUUGGAGGAACACCGAUGGCGAAGGCAGCUUACUGGGCCGGAACUGACGCUGAGGCACGAAAGCGUGGGUAGCAAACAGGAUUAGAUACCCCAGUAGUCC